This 73-nucleotide transfer RNA is filed under the name Felis catus (domestic cat). RNAcentral's name for it is "tRNA-Lys (CTT) (tRNA-Lys-CTT-31-1)". It matches the Rfam family "tRNA". Rfam says of the family: Transfer RNA (tRNA) molecules are approximately 80 nucleotides in length. Their secondary structure includes four short double-helical elements and three loops (D, anti-codon, and T loops). Further hydrogen bonds mediate the characteristic L-shaped molecular structure. tRNAs have two regions of fundamental functional importance: the anti-codon, which is responsible for specific mRNA codon recognition, and the 3' end, to which the tRNAs corresponding amino acid is attached (by aminoacyl-tRNA synthetases). tRNAs cope with the degeneracy of the genetic code in two manners: having more than one tRNA (with a specific anti-codon) for a particular amino acid; and 'wobble' base-pairing, i.e. permitting non-standard base-pairing at the 3rd anti-codon position. Lineage: Eukaryota; Metazoa; Chordata; Mammalia; Carnivora; Felidae. The record is from Rfam by way of RNAcentral. RNAcentral also lists the same sequence under 2 other names.
GCCUGGCUGGCUCAGUUGGUAGAGCAUGAGACUCUUGAUCUCGGGGUUGUGAGUUCGAGCCUCACGUUAAGUG